This 362-nucleotide ribosomal RNA is filed under the name uncultured eukaryote. RNAcentral describes it as "partial 18S ribosomal RNA". It matches the Rfam family "Eukaryotic small subunit ribosomal RNA", at positions 592 to 976 of the family's 1831-position model. The record is from RNAcentral.
CAAUAGCGUACAUUAUUGAUGUUGCAGUUGAAACGUUCGUAGUCGAACCUUAUCUGCUUAAGUGUUGUGCCAUCGACGAUGAUGCAGCCCUCUCAGCAGAGAUUGUGCAAAGGUUGUUGUGUUCCACAUUAAUCUUUUGCACCUUACUUUGAGUGAAUCGGCGUGUUCCACGCAGGCAUGUGCCUUGAACGAUUUACCAUAGCAUAAUCAGAGUAUGAGUGUGCUUCCUUGCUAGUUCGGGAGCACUUUCGAUACUGAAAAGAACGGUUGAGGGCAUUCGUAUUCAACUGCUAGAGGUGAAAUUCUUUGAUUAGUUGAGGACGAACCAUUGCGAAAGCAUCUGCCAAGGACGUUUCUUUUGA